AAGCCUAGAUUAUUAGUAGUUAAGUUCUUGAAAAUUAAUAAAGAUGGCGGUAUUUUAGUCUGUUCAGAGGAACCUGCUCUGUAAUUGAUAGUCCACGAUUUGGAUUACUUAAUUUUUUAGUUUAUAUAUCGCUGUAGAUUGAAUAUUUUUAUUGAAUUUUAAUAUUCAUGAUUUUUUAUGAAAGGAAAUCAAGUCAAGAUGUAGCUUAUAGUUAAGAAGAAGUGGAUUACAUUGUUUAUAUAAAUGGUCAAUUAUUUUAAAUAGUUAUUAUAAAAUGGAUUUGAAAGUAA
This 290-nucleotide ribosomal RNA is filed under the name Ozopemon brownei. Its description in RNAcentral is "partial 12S small subunit ribosomal RNA". Lineage: Eukaryota; Metazoa; Arthropoda; Insecta; Coleoptera; Curculionidae. The record is from RNAcentral.